GGGUGUGUCGAUAGCGGUGAGGAAAUACCCAGUAACAUCUCGAACCUGGAAGUCAAGCUCAUUUGCGGCGAAGGUAGUGCCAGGGGAACUUGGUGUCAGAAUAGCAAGAUGCACCCU
This 117-nucleotide ribosomal RNA is filed under the name Bdellovibrionales bacterium. Lineage: Bacteria; Pseudomonadati; Bdellovibrionota; Bdellovibrionia; Bdellovibrionales. The record is from RNAcentral.